This 644-nucleotide ribosomal RNA is filed under the name Paramesotriton caudopunctatus (Guizhou warty newt). RNAcentral describes it as "partial 12S ribosomal RNA". It matches the Rfam family "Bacterial small subunit ribosomal RNA", at positions 559 to 1527 of the family's 1533-position model. Lineage: Eukaryota; Metazoa; Chordata; Amphibia; Caudata; Salamandridae. The record is from RNAcentral.
CUCAAAGGGUGGUUAAAUACACAAAUUAAAUAAGGCUAAAAACUAACUCCGCUGUAGCACGCAAUAGUUAAAAUAAAUACAACUUCGAAAGUGGCCUUACUAAAAUAAACUUGAACCCACGACAACUAGGAGACAAACUGGGAUUAGAUACCCCACUAUGCCUAGUUAUAAACUUUGAUUUAUCCGCCAGAAUACUACGAGCAACAGCUUAAAACUCAAAGGACUUGGCGGUGCUCCACACCCCCUAGAGGAGCCUGUUCUAUAAUCGAUAAUCCACGAUAAACCUCACCAUCUAUUGCCAAUUCAGCCUAUAUACCACCGUCCAGCCCACCCUUUAAAGGACAAACAGUAGGCACAACUAUAAACAUAAAAACGUCAGGUCAAGGUGUAGCAUAUAAGAUGGGAAGAAAUGGGCUACAUUUUCUAAAUUAGAAAAUUACGGAAAAGCUUAUGAAACUAAAGCUAUAAAGGAGGAUUUAACAGUAAAAAGAAAAAAGAGUGUUCUUUUUAAAACGGCAAUGGAGCGCGCACACACCGCCCGUCACCCUCUUCAAACAACUAUAAGCAAUGAAUAAACAAAGAUUAAAAAAAGAAGAGGCAAGUCGUAACAUGGUAAGUCUACCGGAAGGUGAACUUGGAACAUC